AUUGAACGCUGGCGGCAUGCUUUACACAUGCAAGUCGAACGGUAACAGGGUGGUUGCACCGCUGACGAGUGGCGAACGGGUGAGUAAUGCGUCGGAACGUGCCGAGUAGUGGGGGAUAACGCAGCGAAAGUUGUGCUAAUACCGCAUACGUACUGAGGUAGAAAGUGGGGGACCUUCGGGCCUCACGCUAUUCGAGCGGCCGACGUCUGAUUAGCUAGUAGGUGAGGCAAAGGCUCACCUAGGCGACGAUCAGUAGCGGGUCGGAGAGGAUGGUCCGACACACGGGGAGUGAGACAGGGCCCAGACUGCUACGGGAGGCAGCAGUGGGGAAUUUUGGACAAUGGGGGAAAGUCUGAUCCAGCCAUGCCGCGUGUCUGAAGAAGGCCUUCGGGUUGUAAAGGACUUUUGUCAGGGAGGAAAUCCCUAGUGCUAAUAACACUGGGGGAUGACAGUACCUGAAGAAUAAGCACCGGCUAACUACGUGCCAGCCGCCGCGGUAA
RNAcentral lists this ribosomal RNA (500 nucleotides) under uncultured bacterium. Its description in RNAcentral is "partial 16S ribosomal RNA". It matches the Rfam family "Bacterial small subunit ribosomal RNA", at positions 29 to 523 of the family's 1533-position model. The record is from RNAcentral.